AUUGAACGCUGGCGGCAGGCCUAACACAUGCAAGUCGAGCGAGCGGCGGACGGGUGCGUAAUGUCUGGGGAACUGCCUGAUGGAGGGGGAUAACUACUCGAAACGGUUGCUAAUACCGCAUACCAUCAGAUGUGCCCAGAUGGGAUUAGCUAUUAGGUGGGGUAACGGCUCACCUAGGGGACGAUCCCUAGCUGGUCUGCGAGGUUGUCCAGCCACACUGGAACUGAGACACGGUCCAGACUCCUACGGGAGGGAGCAGUGUGGAGUAUUGCACAAUGGGCGCAAGCCUGAUGCAGCCAUGCCGCGUGUGUGAAGAAGGCCUUCGGGUUGUAAAGCACUUUCAGCGGGGAGGCGUUACCCGCAGAAGAAGCACCGGCUAACUCCGUGCCAGCCGCCGCGGUAAUAC
RNAcentral lists this ribosomal RNA (406 nucleotides) under uncultured bacterium. Its description in RNAcentral is "partial 16S ribosomal RNA". It matches the Rfam family "Bacterial small subunit ribosomal RNA", at positions 30 to 526 of the family's 1533-position model. The record is from RNAcentral.